RNAcentral lists this ribosomal RNA (697 nucleotides) under Paradiscina melaleuca. RNAcentral describes it as "Gyromitra melaleuca partial large subunit ribosomal RNA". It matches the Rfam family "Eukaryotic large subunit ribosomal RNA", at positions 76 to 785 of the family's 3401-position model. Lineage: Eukaryota; Fungi; Ascomycota; Pezizomycetes; Pezizales; Discinaceae. The record is from RNAcentral.
UGCCUCAGUAACGGCGAGUGAAGCGGCAACAGCUCAAAUUUUAAAGCUGGCGUCUUCGGCGUCCGCAUUGUAAUUUGGAGAGGCAUCUUCGGUUAGGGCGCCAGCCUAUGUUCCUUGGAACAGGACGUCACAGAGGGUGAGAAUCCCGUGCCUGGCUGGAUGUCCCUUUCCAUGUGAAGUGUCUUCGACGAGUCGAGUUGUUUGGGAAUGCAGCUCAAAAUGGGUGGUAAAUUUCAUCUAAAGCUAAAUAUUGGCGGGAGACCGAUAGCGCACAAGUAGAGUGAUCGAAAGAUGAAAAGCACUUUGAAAAUAGAGUUAAAAAGUACGUGAAAUUGUUGAAAGGGAAGCGCUUGAGACCAGAGUCGGCCGUGGAUGAUCAGCCGCCCUUAUCGGACGGUGCACUCGUCUGCGGUCGGGCCAGCAUCGGUUGAGCCGGCGGGACAAAGGCUCGGGAAAUGUGGCUCCCUUCGGGGAGUGUUAUAGCCCCGGGCGCAAUGCCGUCAGGCUCGACCGAGGACCGCGCUUUUAUGCUAGGAUGCUGGCGUAAUGGUCUUCAGCGACCCGUCUUGAAACACGGACCAAGGAGUCUAACAUCUAUGCGAGUGUUCGGGUGUCAAACCCCUGCGCGUAAUGAAAGUAAACGGAGGUGGGAACCCUUUCGGGGGCGCACCAUCGACCGAUCCAGAAGUCUUCUGAA